Molecule: unclassified non-coding RNA, 240 nt
Filed under: soil metagenome
Description: partial contains 5.8S ribosomal RNA, internal transcribed spacer 2, and large subunit ribosomal RNA
Source: RNAcentral
AACCAUAGAAACCUGCGGAGUACCUGCGGAAGGAUCAUUAAAAAGAGUGUGUACCCCUCUGUAAAAUGAGUGGGUUACCUCCCGUCCUUUGUUGACCUCUUAGGAGGUUAUUUUGAACUUUCUGCUUCGGUGGGGUUAAACCUACCGGAACACCCUCAAAUUCUUAUCAUUUAAAAAUUGUUCAGUCUGAUUUUUGUUAAUAAAAACAAAAAACUUUCAGCAACGGAUCUCAGAUCGGAA